This is a long non-coding RNA of Rhea pennata, 430 nucleotides long. RefSeq lists it as uncharacterized. The record is from RefSeq and is a predicted model, not a curated record. Lineage: Eukaryota; Metazoa; Chordata; Aves; Rheiformes; Rheidae. The transcript is spliced from 2 exons.
CGGAGGGCAAAUCAGCUGCGCAUUCUGCAAAUGCCACCGGGAGGGCAGGCGGCGCGCAAAACCCGGACUGGAGCGCGGCCACCGCCUGCCCCCGGCUCGCCUGGGGAGGGGAAGGGGGCAGCGGCAGAGCCAGGGACGCGGGCACGGAACGGACUCGGUCUCCAAGCACGCACGGCGUCCAGGCACGGGAGGGCACGCGCAAAACCCGGACCGGAUCGCCCUGCCCUGGCAAGGGAAAAAAGUGUCCCCGGUUCCCAGACAGCGUGGGCAACUUCCUAGUUCCUGGCCUGCCUCCGGGCCAGGCUGUCUCUCUGCGCAACCUGUCCUCCUUCCCAGCAAGGCGCUGCAAGUUUUAUAAAAAUUUCUACUUUGCAACCUGAUGACCUCUGCUCACCUUAGUUUCCUGAGAUUAAACUGAGAUCAUGAAUAA